UACAGAUCCUGGUCCACAUUUUGAACCUUA
This 30-nucleotide non-coding RNA is filed under the name Homo sapiens (human). Lineage: Eukaryota; Metazoa; Chordata; Mammalia; Primates; Hominidae. The record is from RNAcentral.